GACGAACGCUGGCGGCGUGCUUAACACAUGCAAGUCGAACGGAAAGGCCCCUUUGGGGGUACUCGAGUGGCGAACGGGGGAGUAACACGUGAGUAACCUGCCCUUGACUUCGGGAUAACUUCAGGAAACUGGGGCUAAUACCGGAUAGGAAUCCUUGCUGCAUGGUGGGGGUUGGAAAGCUUCGGCGGUUUUGGCUGGACUCGCGGCUUAUCAGCUUGUUGGUGGGGUAGUGGCUUACCAAGGCGUUGACGGGUAGCCGGCCUGAGAGGGCGACCGGCCACACUGGGACUGAGAGACGGCCCAGACUCCUACGGGAGGCAGCAGUGGGGAAGAUUGCACGAUGGGCGGAAGCCUGAUGCAGCAACGCCGCGUGCGGGAUGACGGCCUUCGGGUUGUAAACCGCUUUCAGCAGGGGCGAAGCUUGUGGUGACGGUACCUGCAGAAGAAGCACCGGCUAACUACGUG
RNAcentral lists this ribosomal RNA (465 nucleotides) under uncultured bacterium. RNAcentral's name for it is "partial 16S ribosomal RNA". It matches the Rfam family "Bacterial small subunit ribosomal RNA", at positions 28 to 507 of the family's 1533-position model. The record is from RNAcentral.